This 253-nucleotide ribosomal RNA is filed under the name uncultured bacterium. RNAcentral's name for it is "partial 16S ribosomal RNA". It matches the Rfam family "Bacterial small subunit ribosomal RNA", at positions 524 to 776 of the family's 1533-position model. The record is from RNAcentral.
GACGAAGGAUGCAAGCGUUAUCCGGAUUCAUUGGGUUUAAAGGGUGCGUAGGUGGGCAGGUAAGUCAGUGGUGAAAUCUCCGGGCUUAACCCGGAAACUGCCAUUGAUACUAUCAGUCUUGAAUACCGUGGAGGUAAGCGGAAUAUGUCAUGUAGCGGUGAAAUGCUUAGAUAUGACAUAGAACACCAAUUGCGAAGGCAGCUUACUAGCCGAAUAUUGACACUGAGGCACGAAAGCGUGGGGAUCAAACAGG